RNAcentral lists this ribosomal RNA (271 nucleotides) under uncultured bacterium. Its description in RNAcentral is "partial 16S ribosomal RNA". It matches the Rfam family "Bacterial small subunit ribosomal RNA", at positions 28 to 296 of the family's 1533-position model. The record is from RNAcentral.
GAUGAACGCUGGCGGCGUGCCUAAUACAUGCAAGUCGAACGAGAGCCGUUGUAGCAAUACGACGGUUCUAGUGGCGAACGGGUGAGUAACGCGUUGGUGAUCUGCCCCGAAGUGGGGGACAACAGUCCGAAAGGACUGCUAAUACCCCAUGUGGUCACAAGGGUUAAAGGCUUUGUGACUAAAGGAGUAAUUCGCUUCGGGAGGAGCCUGCGUCCCAUCAGCUAGUUGGUAGGGUAAGGCCUACCAAGGCUCAGACGGGUAGGGACCUGAG